This 443-nucleotide ribosomal RNA is filed under the name uncultured bacterium. RNAcentral describes it as "partial 16S ribosomal RNA". It matches the Rfam family "Bacterial small subunit ribosomal RNA", at positions 338 to 795 of the family's 1533-position model. The record is from RNAcentral.
CCUACGGGCGACUGCAGUGGGGGAUAUUGGACAAUGGGGGGAACCCUGAUCCAGCGACGCCGCGUGAGUGAAGAAGUAUUUCGGUAUGUAAAGCUCUGUCAGCAGGGAAGAAAGAAAUGACGGUACCUGACCAAGAAGCCCCGGCUAACUACGUGCCAGCAGCCGCUGGAAUACGUAGGGGGCAAGCGUUAUCCGGAAUUACUGGGUGUAAAGGGAGCGUAGACGGUUAAGUAAGUCUGGAGUGAAAGGCCGGGGCCCAACCCCGGGACUGCUCUGGAAACUAUUGAACUUGAGUGCAGGAGAGGUAAGCGGAAUUCCUAGUGUAGCGGUGAAAUGCGUAGAUAUUAGGAGGAACACCAGUGGCGAAGGCGGCUUACUGGACUGUAACUGACGUUGAGGCUCGAAAGCGUGGGGAGCAAACAGGAUUAGAUACCCGUGUAGUC